CCUAUGGGGUGCAGCAGGCGCGAAAACUUUACAAUGCGGGCAACCGUGAUAAGGGAACCUCGAGUGCCUGUAUAUGCAGGCUGUCUGGGUGUCUAAAACACACCUAAAGAAAGGGCCGGGCAAGACCGGUGCCAGCCGCCGCGGUAAUACCGGCGGCUCGAGUGGUGGCCACUUUUAUUGGGCUUAAAGCGUUCGUAGCUGGGUUAUUAAGUCCCUUGGGAAAUCCGACGGCUUAACCGUCGGGCGUCUAAGGGAUACUGGUAAUCUUGGAACCGGGAGAGGUGAGGGGUACUUCGGGGGUAGGAGUGAAAUCCUGUAAUCCUCGAGGGACCACCUGUGGCGAAGGCGCCUCACCAGAACGGCUUCGACAGUGAGGGACGAAAGCUGGGGGAGCAAACCGGAUUAGAUACCCGGGUAGUCCCAGCCGUAAACGAUGUGCGUUAGGUGUAUCGGUGACCACGAGUCACCGAGGUGCCGAAGGGAAACCGUGAAACGUACCGCCUGGGAAGUACGGUCGCAAGGCUGAAACUUAAAGGAAUUGGCGGGGGAGCACCACAACAGGUGGAGCCUGCGGUUUAAUUGGACUCAACGCCGGAAAUCUCACCGGAUAAGACAGCUGAAUGAUUGUCGGGCUGAAGACUCUACAUGACUAGCUGAGAGGAGGUGCAUGGCCGUCGUCAGUUCGUACUGUGAAGCAUCCUGUUAAGUCAGGCAACGAGCGAGACCCACGCCAACAGUUGCCAGCAUGGCCUCCGGGCUGAUGGGGACACUGUUGGGACCGCCUCUGCUAAAGAGGAGGAAGGAAUGGGCAACGGUAGGUCAGCAUGCCCCGAAUUAUCCGGGCUACACGCGGGCUACAAUGGGCAGGACAAUGGGUAUCGACACCGAAAGGUGAAGGCAAUCUCUUAAACCUGUCCGUAGUUCGGAUUGUGGGCUGUAACUCGCCCACAUGAAGCUGGAAUCUGUAGUAAUCGCGUUUCAACAUAACGCGGUGAAUGUGUCCCUGCUCCUUGCACUCACCGCCCGUC
This 1028-nucleotide ribosomal RNA is filed under the name uncultured archaeon. RNAcentral describes it as "bacterial SSU rRNA". It matches the Rfam family "Archaeal small subunit ribosomal RNA", at positions 322 to 1354 of the family's 1478-position model. The record is from RNAcentral.